UGGGGGUGGGGGUGGGGGUGAGUGGUGUAACUGAGGAAGAGUCCCUGGCAUACUGCAACUAGGUCAGAAGUGACAGCAUUCAGCCCUCCCCUCCUUAGGGAGUGGGGUAAGGGGGCGACCCCGCCCAGUGCAGAGGGUGGCGAGUCAGGAGCCGACGAAUGCUGGAGAGGCCAUCCGCAGGGGCGGGUCUCUCCAGAGAGCAGCCGGGUGACAACGUGGCACAGAACGGCACUGCAUCGGAGUAGGCACACUGCAAAGACGAGACGAGUCCUCCCCAGAGAGGGGAGGCGGUUAAGGAGAGGAGAUUGCGUGGCUCGGAGCAGCCAGACCCGAUGGUGUGCUUCUCACCUCAGCGUGAUAGCCUGACCUUGACUCCUGAGUUCCACGAUCGCUUCACAACUGCAAGUCACCAUCAUACAAAAUUUGAGUUUCCCUAAGUCCGCGCCUUUGAGAGCUUUGGAACGAUAUGCAAGUUCAAGUCACCAUCCUGUUUCUUGCUACCUCCUGGUUUCCGAUGGCACCUGUGUCAAGGUCUUCCAACAACUCCGGGUCUUCCAGCGACUUCAAGUCUUCCAA
RNAcentral lists this long non-coding RNA (576 nucleotides) under Homo sapiens (human). RNAcentral describes it as "HSALNT0408912". The record is from RNAcentral. Lineage: Eukaryota; Metazoa; Chordata; Mammalia; Primates; Hominidae.